Molecule: long non-coding RNA, 2220 nt
Filed under: Homo sapiens (human)
Lineage: Eukaryota; Metazoa; Chordata; Mammalia; Primates; Hominidae
Description: HSALNT0349266
Source: RNAcentral
UUGGAUUUUAUUAUUGUUAUUGUCUCACAGAACAAGACUAGCCAUAGGUAGGCAGUUGCAGGGUGGGGUCAGAAGCUCAUUGAUGUCAUUGAAGACACUGCUUUUCAUCUUUCUGUCCUGUCAUCUUCAAAGUGCCGCUAUAUUUCCCACCUAGGUCACAGGGUGGCUGCAGCAUAGGCAAGCUUUACAAUUGCAUGUGAAAAUACCUGGAAGAAAGAAAAAAAGAGAUAGGGAGGAAGACACCUUAUUUUCUCUCUUCAUGUAAGGGGAAAAAAUUGUUUCUCAGAAACCCCCCAGUAAACUUCCCUUUAUGUUUUAUCAGACACAACUGGAUUCAAAAGCCAUCUUGAACUGCAAGAGGGACUGGGAAAAGUGAAGCUAUCAUCUCUGUCCCUAUCUUGGAAUUGGGCACUUCCAACAGGCAAGAAGGAUGAGCAAAACACUUGUUGGGUUGGCUGUUGUAAAAAUAAGCCACUAUUUUCAUGCUUCUAAACACUUUAUGUGUAUUAGUCCACUAGAUCCUCAUAACAAACUCUUGGGGUAAGUAUGAUUCAUAAUCAUUUACAGAUAAGCAAACUGAACUGCAGAAGUGUUAACAUAGUGAGGAAGUGAAGGAGCCAAGAUUCCAACUCCACCAUCCGGCCGCAGAGGCUGCACAAGGCGCGGUUCUCAGCCAGCAGCGUCUGCCACAGCAGGCUGCCUCUAAAAUCAUAACACGUAAAAGUUCUAAGUGAUGUUUGUCUGUCUCAGAAGUGCAAAUGUGACAUUUGCCCCUGGCUGCAGUCAUGGUGUGGGUGAAAAGAGCAGAGGGGCAUCCAAGAGUGACAAGAAUUGCUUUCUGUCAUCAUCAAGGCUGCGUCAGCUCACGCUGUGGUCAGAUCCCUCUUGUACUGGUCCCAGAAGAGAAAGACUAUGACAUUAUUGCUCCUCAGGAAGAGGUGAAGCCCUCUCACCCCCAAUAUGCAUCAAUGUCAGAAUCAGGAAGCAGAUGAGAGGUACACAGCCCCCUGAGAAGCAGUGCUUGACACAGGCUACUGUAAUAGGUGUCCACCCAUCUGAAUCCUACUGCCCAGCACUCAGCUCAGAUGGAACAAGAGGCUGCCAGACGAGAGGUAGGCAAGGUGGCACAGACUCAACUGUCACCCUAACUGUAUUUCUCACCCUACCAUAACCUUCGUUACUGACAUGGUCAAAAAGGAAACAGAGGCUGCGGCAAUGGCAGCAGCAGCAACAGUGAAAGCAACCAAGAGAGAAGGCAGCUGGCACUGGAGGGCAUCGUGCCAGGUUCCAGGCACAGAGGGAUUCUGGCAGUGAUUACAGCGGUAAAUAGAGCUGAUGGUUGUGCCGGGACCCUAGGCCCUGCCAGGAAGGGAGCAGGGGAGAUGAGAUUCUUAUAAUUACACUCGUUUAGACUCAGCCAUCAUGGGGUUACCCACAGAGGACUCUGAUCUGUCCCCAGGCUGGGAGUUGCAGAAGCACCUGUUACAGCAGAAGUCAUUUGGCAAGCCAAACAAAAUGCGGAUUCAUCCAGGCCACCUGUAAAGGAAUUUAAUGCCUAACAACCUAUGCAAAGCUUCUAAUUGUCAUAAUUAAUUUGGCAUCUAUUCACUGCUGGCACCAGUUUGAUCGCUCCCAUUUCAUAGAUCUUUACAAUGUCACACUGUUGCUCCAGCUUAUUUAGAAAUCCUGGAAAGAGGGGAAGUGGAGAUUGCAGGGCAGCCUCAGCCCUCAGAAAAGUUUCUCUGCUUUCUCAUGUGUCCCAGCUGACAGGAUGCCAGGCCAGCAAGCUAAUGACCAACAGCUGAGCGCCAUGGCAAAGAACGAUAUAAAGACAAUCAUCUGGCUUCUGCUACUUUACAAACAAAAGGCAAGAGAUAGCAUACUGGAGAGAAAACAAAAUAAAAACUUUUAAUAAUGAUAGUGUCCCAUGUAUCAAUCUCCCAUUGUAUUUCCACAUUGCACAGUUAAUAUCAGAGGCCACCUCCACUGACUCAGACUUCCAUAAACAAGACACUUUGGACACAAAGGAGUUUCUCGUUCUGUUUCUGUAUCUGUCGCCUCUAAAAAAUACAGUGAUCCAAAGUUCAUCACUAAAAGAUGUGGGGAAAAAGUGGUGAUCAAAACUUUGCAAUACAAUAAUGGACCUUUUUAAAUCUAAAAAUGUGAAAAUCAAUGCAUCAAUUUUCAUACUUUCUCUUUUAAAUUUUCUUUCUUUUGAUC